UAGGGAAUUUUGGACAAUGGGCGAAAGCCUGAUCCAGCAACGCCGCGUGCGCGAUGAAGGCCUUCGGGUUGUAAAGCGCUUUUAGAGGAGAUGAGAAAGGACAGUAUCCUCUGAAUAAGCCUCGGCGAACUACGUGCCAGCAGCCGCGGUAAAACGUAGGAGGCUAGCGUUAUCCGGAUUUAUUGGGCGUAAAGCGUGUGCAGGCGGUUUAGCAAGUUGGAUGUGAAAGCUCCUGGCUUAACUGGGAGAGGUCGUUCAAAACUGCUAGACUAGAGAAUGGGAGAGGGAGGUGGAAUUCCGGGUGUAGUGGUGAAAUGCGUAGAUAUCCGGAGGAACACCAGUGGCGAAAGCGGCCUCCUAGACCAUUUCUGACGCUAAGACACGAAAGCUAGGGUAGCAAACG
Molecule: ribosomal RNA, 403 nt
Filed under: uncultured bacterium
Lineage: Bacteria
Description: bacterial SSU rRNA
Rfam family: Bacterial small subunit ribosomal RNA
Source: RNAcentral